Molecule: ribosomal RNA, 503 nt
Filed under: uncultured bacterium
Lineage: Bacteria
Description: partial 16S ribosomal RNA
Rfam family: Bacterial small subunit ribosomal RNA
Source: RNAcentral
AUUGAACGCUGGCGGCAGGCUUAACACAUGCAAGUCGAGCGGGGUGAUGGUGCUUGCACUAUCACUUAGCGACGGACGGGUGAGUAAUGCUUAGGAAUCUGCCUAUUAGUGGGGGACAACAUCUCGAAAGGGAUGCUAAUACCGCAUACGUCCUACGGGAGAAAGCAGGGGAUCACUUGUGACCUUGCGCUAAUAGAUGAGCCUAAGUCGGAUUAGCUAGUUGGUGGGGUAAAGGCCUACCAAGGCGACGAUCUGUAGCGGGUCUGAGAGGAUGAUCCGCCACACUGGGACUGAGACACGGCCCAGACUCCUACGGGAGGCAGCAGUGGGGAAUAUUGGACAAUGGGGGGAACCCUGAGCCAGCCAUGCCGCGUGUGUGAAGAAGGCCUUAUGGUUGUAAAGCACUUUAAGCGAGGAGGAGGCUCUUUUGGUUAAUACCCAAGAUGAGUGGACGUUACUCGCAGAAUAAGCACCGGCUAACUCUGUGCCAGCAGCCGCCGUAA